GACGAACGCUGGCGGCGUGCUUAACACAUGCAAGUCGAACGCUGAAGCCAUGGCUUUUGUUGGGUUGGAUGAGUGGCGGACGGGUGAGUAACACGUGAGUAACCUGCCCUCUUCUUUGGGAUAACGCCCGGAAACGGGUGCUAAUACCGGAUAUUCACUUGCCUUCGCAUGGGGGUUGGUGGAAAGGGUUGUUCUGGUGGGGGAUGGGCGCGCGGCCUAUUCGCUUGUUGGUGGGGUGAUGGCCUACCUAGGGUUUGACGGGUAGCUGGCCGGGGAGGGUGACCGGGGAAAUUAGGAAUGGGAUACGGCCCAGACGGAUACGGCAGGCAGCAGUGUGGAAUAAUGCACGAUAGGCGAACGCAGGAUGCAGCGGCGAGGGGUGAGGGAUUGAGGACUUUGGGAUGUAAUCAUCUUUCGAUAAUGAAUAUGCCGCAAAUGUGGGUUGUGGUGAGGGUAGUGGGUCAAGAAGCGCUGGCUAACUACGUG
RNAcentral lists this ribosomal RNA (486 nucleotides) under uncultured bacterium. RNAcentral describes it as "partial 16S ribosomal RNA". It matches the Rfam family "Bacterial small subunit ribosomal RNA", at positions 28 to 507 of the family's 1533-position model. The record is from RNAcentral.